This 460-nucleotide ribosomal RNA is filed under the name uncultured bacterium. RNAcentral describes it as "partial 16S ribosomal RNA". It matches the Rfam family "Bacterial small subunit ribosomal RNA", at positions 338 to 795 of the family's 1533-position model. The record is from RNAcentral.
CCUACGGGUGGCAGCAGUGAGGAAUAUUGGUCAAUGGACGAGAGUCUGAACCAGCCAAGUAGCGUGAAGGAUGACUGCCCUAUGGGUUGUAAACUUCUUUUAUAUGGGAAUAAAAUGUUCCACGUGUGGGAUUUUGUAUGUACCAUAUGAAUAAGGAUCGGCUAACUCCGUGCCAGCAGCCGCGGUAAUACGGAGGAUCCGAGCGUUAUCCGGAUUUAUUGGGUUUAAAGGGAGCGUAGGUGGAUUGUUAAGUCAGUUGUGAAAGUUUGCGGCUCAACCUUAAAAUUGCAGUUGAAACUGGCAGUCUUGAGUACAGGAGAGGUAAGCGGAAUUCGUGGUGUAGCGGUGAAAUGCGUAGAUAUCACGAAGAACUCCAGUUGCGAAGGCAGCUUACUGGACUGCAACUGACACUGAGGCUCGAAAGUGUGGGUAUCAAACAGGAUUAGAUACCCUAGUAGUC